AGUCUGUUGCCCAGGAUGGAAUGCAGUAGUGUGAUUACACCUAACUUCAGCCUGAAACUCCUGGGGUCAAGUUAUCCCCCGACCUCAUCAUCCCAAGUAAUGGGGACUACAGAGUUUAGGAUGCUUCAAGGGAAAGAUGAACCGGGGAACCGCCACCGUGACUAUUUCUCAUCUACAUAUCCACCCCCCGAAGUUCUUAAGGUGGAGCGGAAUUCAUUUUAUUUGCAAAUGUGGAAGGCAUUAUAAAAACCGUGAAUGAUGCCCCCUCCCAUGAGGGAUACAGGGAGAGCCACGUGAAGAGGAUGUUGGGCUUCUUCAAGCUGGCAGGGCACUGAGCUGACUGUCCACCACACUCACCAGGGGCCUUUGUGCAUCCCGUGGGGCAGCUCUGGGAAAGGAGGGCCAGAAAGGAUGGGCUUUCCCUUUUCCUCGUGGCAGAAACUUCCCUGACUUCAUAGCUGGGUUCCCCCUAUCCACAGUUUACAGUACAACUAUCUCCUCCAAGUUGGCCAGCAUUGCCUCUGAUACGUGAACAAGAAGUAUUUGGAGGGUUAAUAAAUACAAAUCAACACAUAUACACAUGAAGAGAAAAUGGAUGUAAUAACCAAGGACUGCCUGAUAUGCGGGAACUGAAGCUCAGAAAGGCAAAACAACUUUUCAUGCUCUUCUACCUAAUAAGUCGGAGAACCAAGAUUCAAAUUCUAAAUGCGGGUCUGAUUGAGGCCAAGCAGGUGAGCAGGCUCAAUGGGAUUCUCAGUGUUGGCCUGGCUUCCACACAAGGAAGAGGCCACUGGCAGGGGUUCCUGUCCUCAGCCAGGCUUCUAGCCUGACACUGGCUGGACAACGCAGAGUGAAGCUGGUCAUAGGGCAGGGUUUCCUGAAGCUGUGCCUGCUUCAUGAGGCUGCCUGCUGGCCCAGGCUCACCUCUCCCUCCAAAGGGCACAGUGGCUAUUUCUGGCCGUCCCAGCCUCUGGCUGUGUCUGUCUUCUUUAACCUUCCUGAGGCUCCAAAGGCCAUUAGGAAGCUGGCCGAAGCUUCAUGGCCCAAUGACAGGACUAGGAUCUUACUGGAUGGAGGAGGGGAGAGAGUGAGUCUUUAGGUCCGUGAAAUUGCUGCCAGCAUUUGGCCAGCUGUCGUCCAUCAGCCAGAGAGCUAACCAGAGCCUCCCUUGGGGCUGGUCCCUGGAGU
This 1188-nucleotide long non-coding RNA is filed under the name Homo sapiens (human). RNAcentral's name for it is "HSALNT0382622". Lineage: Eukaryota; Metazoa; Chordata; Mammalia; Primates; Hominidae. The record is from RNAcentral.